This 69-nucleotide transfer RNA is filed under the name Dawkinsia tambraparniei. Its description in RNAcentral is "tRNA-Phe". It matches the Rfam family "tRNA". Rfam says of the family: Transfer RNA (tRNA) molecules are approximately 80 nucleotides in length. Their secondary structure includes four short double-helical elements and three loops (D, anti-codon, and T loops). The record is from RNAcentral. Lineage: Eukaryota; Metazoa; Chordata; Actinopteri; Cypriniformes; Cyprinidae.
GCUAUCGUAGCUUAAUAUAAAGCAUAGCACUGAAGAUGCUAAGAUGAACUUUAAAAGGUUCCGCACGCA